Molecule: microRNA, 23 nt
Filed under: Ascaris suum (pig roundworm)
Lineage: Eukaryota; Metazoa; Nematoda; Chromadorea; Rhabditida; Ascarididae
Description: asu-miR-5358b-5p
Source: miRBase by way of RNAcentral
CCAUGUUGGUGCGUCGUGGUAUG